UACGUAGGGUGCAAGCGUUAAUCGGAAUUACUGGGCGUAAAGCGUGCGCAGGCGGUCGCGUAAGCCAGAUGUGAAAUCCCCGGGCUUAACCUGGGAACUGCAUUUGGUACUGCGUGGCUGGAGUGCGGCAGAGGAAGGUGGAAUUCCUGGUGUAGCAGUGAAAUGCGUAGAGAUCAGGAGGAACACCGAUGGCGAAGGCAGCCUUCUGGGCCAGCACUGACGCUCAUGAACGAAAGCGUGGGGAGCAAACAGG
RNAcentral lists this ribosomal RNA (253 nucleotides) under uncultured bacterium. RNAcentral's name for it is "partial 16S ribosomal RNA". It matches the Rfam family "Bacterial small subunit ribosomal RNA", at positions 524 to 776 of the family's 1533-position model. The record is from RNAcentral.